This 250-nucleotide ribosomal RNA is filed under the name uncultured bacterium. RNAcentral's name for it is "partial 16S ribosomal RNA". It matches the Rfam family "Bacterial small subunit ribosomal RNA", at positions 62 to 339 of the family's 1533-position model. The record is from RNAcentral.
UCGAACGAGAUCUUCGGAUCUAGUGGCAGACGGGUGCGUAACGCGUGGGAACCUGCCCUUUAGUAAGGAAUAACUCAGGGAAACUUGUGCUAAUACCUUAUAAUCCCUUCGGGGGAAAGCUUUAUGCGCUAAUGGAUGGGCCCGCGUUAGAUUAGCUAGUUGGUGAGGUAAAAGCUCACCAAGGCGAUAAUCAAUAGCUGAUUUGAGAGGAUGAUCAGCCACACUGGGACUGAGAUACGGCCCAGACUCC